Molecule: ribosomal RNA, 497 nt
Filed under: uncultured bacterium
Lineage: Bacteria
Description: partial 16S ribosomal RNA
Rfam family: Bacterial small subunit ribosomal RNA
Source: RNAcentral
GAUGAACGCUGGCGGCGUGCCUAAUACAUGCAAGUCGAGCGAACAGACGAGGAGCUUGCUCCUCUGACGUUAGCGGCGGACGGGUGAGUAACACGUGGAUAACCUACCUAUAAGACUGGGAUAACUUCGGGAAACCGGAGCUAAUACCGGAUAAUAUAUUGAACCGCAUGGUUCAAUAGUGAAAGACGGUUUUGCUGUCACUUAUAGAUGGAUCCGCGCCGCAUUAGCUAGUUGGUAAGGUAACGGCUUACCAAGGCAACGAUGCGUAGCCGACCUGAGAGGGUGAUCGGCCACACUGGAACUGAGACACGGUCCAGACUCCUACGGGAGGCAGCAGUAGGGAAUCUUCCGCAAUGGGCGAAAGCUUGACGGAGCAACGCCGCGUGAGUGAUGAAGGUCUUCGGAUCGUAAAACUCUGUUAUUAGGGAAGAACAAAUGUGUAAGUAACUAUGCACGUCUUGACGGUACCUAAUCAGAAAGCCACGGCUAACUACGUG